AACAUCGCGCACCUGCGGGAACCUGCGGAAGGAUCAUUAUCGAGUUUACAACUCCCAAACCCCUGUGAACAUACCAAUCGUUGCCUCGGCGGGACCGCCCCGGCGCCCCCGGGCCCGGACCCAGGCGCCCGCCGGAGGACCCCCAAACUCACUUGAUUCCACGGUGUAUCUUCUGAGUGACACAAGCAAAUAAAAUCAAAACUUUUAACAAUGGAUCU
This 218-nucleotide unclassified non-coding RNA is filed under the name soil metagenome. Its description in RNAcentral is "partial contains 5.8S ribosomal RNA, internal transcribed spacer 2, and large subunit ribosomal RNA". The record is from RNAcentral.